RNAcentral lists this ribosomal RNA (2370 nucleotides) under Escherichia coli. RNAcentral describes it as "23S ribosomal RNA". It matches the Rfam family "Bacterial large subunit ribosomal RNA". The record is from RNAcentral. Lineage: Bacteria; Pseudomonadati; Pseudomonadota; Gammaproteobacteria; Enterobacterales; Enterobacteriaceae.
GGGUUGUGAGGUUAAGCGACUAAGCGUACACGGUGGAUGCCCUGGCAGUCAGAGGCGAUGAAGGACGUGCUAAUCUGCGAUAAGCGUCGGUAAGGUGAUAUGAACCGUUAUAACCGGCGAUUUCCGAAUGGGGAAACCCAGUGUGUUUCGACACACUAUCAUUAACUGAAUCCAUAGGUUAAUGAGGCGAACCGGGGGAACUGAAACAUCUAAGUACCCCGAGGAAAAGAAAUCAACCGAGAUUCCCCCAGUAGCGGCGAGCGAACGGGGAGGAGCCCAGAGCCUGAAUCAGUGUGUGUGUUAGUGGAAGCGUCUGGAAAGGCGCGCGAUACAGGGUGACAGCCCCGUACACAAAAAUGCACAUGCUGUGAGCUCGAUGAGUAGGGCGGGACACGUGGUAUCCUGUCUGAAUAUGGGGGGACCAUCCUCCAAGGCUAAAUACUCCUGACUGACCGAUAGUGAACCAGUACCGUGAGGGAAAGGCGAAAAGAACCCCGGCGAGGGGAGUGAAAAAGAACCUGAAACCGUGUACGUACAAGCAGUGGGAGCACGCUUAGGCGUGUGACUGCGUACCUUUUGUAUAAUGGGUCAGCGACUUAUAUUCUGUAGCAAGGUUAACCGAAUAGGGGAGCCGAAGGGAAACCGAGUCUUAACUGGGCGUUAAGUUGCAGGGUAUAGACCCGAAACCCGGUGAUCUAGCCAUGGGCAGGUUGAAGGUUGGGUAACACUAACUGGAGGACCGAACCGACUAAUGUUGAAAAAUUAGCGGAUGACUUGUGGCUGGGGGUGAAAGGCCAAUCAAACCGGGAGAUAGCUGGUUCUCCCCGAAAGCUAUUUAGGUAGCGCCUCGUGAACUCAUCUCCGGGGGUAGAGCACUGUUUCGGCAAGGGGGUCAUCCCGACUUACCAACCCGAUGCAAACUGCGAAUACCGGAGAAUGUUAUCACGGGAGACACACGGCGGGUGCUAACGUCCGUCGUGAAGAGGGAAACAACCCAGACCGCCAGCUAAGGUCCCAAAGUCAUGGUUAAGUGGGAAACGAUGUGGGAAGGCCCAGACAGCCAGGAUGUUGGCUUAGAAGCAGCCAUCAUUUAAAGAAAGCGUAAUAGCUCACUGGUCGAGUCGGCCUGCGCGGAAGAUGUAACGGGGCUAAACCAUGCACCGAAGCUGCGGCAGCGACGCUUAUGCGUUGUUGGGUAGGGGAGCGUUCUGUAAGCCUGNNNNNNNNNNNNNNNNNNNNNNNNNNNNNNNNNNNNNNNNNNNNNNNNNNNNNNNNNNNNNNNNNNNNNNNNNNNNNNNNNNNNNNNNNNNNNNNNNNNCAGCGCAAGCGAAGCUCUUGAUCGAAGCCCCGGUAAACGGCGGCCGUAACUAUAACGGUCCUAAGGUAGCGAAAUUCCUUGUCGGGUAAGUUCCGACCUGCACGAAUGGCGUAAUGAUGGCCAGGCUGUCUCCACCCGAGACUCAGUGAAAUUGAACUCGCUGUGAAGAUGCAGUGUACCCGCGGCAAGACGGAAAGACCCCGUGAACCUUUACUAUAGCUUGACACUGAACAUUGAGCCUUGAUGUGUAGGAUAGGUGGGAGGCUUUGAAGUGUGGACGCCAGUCUGCAUGGAGCCGACCUUGAAAUACCACCCUUUAAUGUUUGAUGUUCUAACGUUGACCCGUAAUCCGGGUUGCGGACAGUGUCUGGUGGGUAGUUUGACUGGGGCGGUCUCCUCCUAAAGAGUAACGGAGGAGCACGAAGGUUGGCUAAUCCUGGUCGGACAUCAGGAGGUUAGUGCAAUGGCAUAAGCCAGCUUGACUGCGAGCGUGACGGCGCGAGCAGGUGCGAAAGCAGGUCAUAGUGAUCCGGUGGUUCUGAAUGGAAGGGCCAUCGCUCAACGGAUAAAAGGUACUCCGGGGAUAACAGGCUGAUACCGCCCAAGAGUUCAUAUCGACGGCGGUGUUUGGCACCUCGAUGUCGGCUCAUCACAUCCUGGGGCUGAAGUAGGUCCCAAGGGUAUGGCUGUUCGCCAUUUAAAGUGGUACGCGAGCUGGGUUUAGAACGUCGUGAGACAGUUCGGUCCCUAUCUGCCGUGGGCGCUGGAGAACUGAGGGGGGCUGCUCCUAGUACGAGAGGACCGGAGUGGACGCAUCACUGGUGUUCGGGUUGUCAUGCCAAUGGCACUGCCCGGUAGCUAAAUGCGGAAGAGAUAAGUGCUGAAAGCAUCUAAGCACGAAACUUGCCCCGAGAUGAGUUCUCCCUGACUCCUUGAGAGUCCUGAAGGAACGUUGAAGACGACGACGUUGAUAGGCCGGGUGUGUAAGCGCAGCGAUGCGUUGAGCUAACCGGUACUAAUGAACCGUGAGGCUUAACCUUACAACGCCGAAG